RNAcentral lists this RNase P RNA (357 nucleotides) under Parabacteroides sp. 52. RNAcentral describes it as "RNase P RNA component class A". It matches the Rfam family "Bacterial RNase P class A". From Rfam's summary of the family: Ribonuclease P (RNase P) is a ubiquitous endoribonuclease, found in archaea, bacteria and eukarya as well as chloroplasts and mitochondria. Its best characterised activity is the generation of mature 5'-ends of tRNAs by cleaving the 5'-leader elements of precursor-tRNAs. The record is from RNAcentral. Lineage: Bacteria; Pseudomonadati; Bacteroidota; Bacteroidia; Bacteroidales; Tannerellaceae. RNAcentral also lists the same sequence under 1 other name.
GCAGUUUGCCGGUCUGUCGCUCAUCGUCAGAUGGGAGGAAAGUCCGGGCAACGUAGAGCACCAUACUUCUUAACGGGAAGCUGUUCGUGAGGGCAGAGUAGCGUAACAGAGAAUAACCGCCCUGUUUACAGGGUAAGGGUGAAAAGGUGAGGUAAGAGCUCACCGGGUCUUAUAGUAAUAUAGGAUGCCGUACGUCUUAUGGGUUGUAAGGUCAUGUAUACCGGCGCAUGUAGGGUUGCUCGCCCGAUGCCGGGGGGUAGACCGCUAAAGCAUACCGGUGACGGUAUGACAAGAUAAAUGGCAGACGCCCUCCCCUAUGGGAGGGUACAGAACCCGGCUUACAGGCAAACUGCAUUU